GGUUCCAUGGUGUUAUGGUUAGCACUCUGGACUCUGAAUCCAGCAAACCAAUUUCAAAUUUCGGUGGGACCU
Molecule: non-coding RNA, 72 nt
Organism: Danio rerio (zebrafish)
Lineage: Eukaryota; Metazoa; Chordata; Actinopteri; Cypriniformes; Danionidae
Source: Rfam